UCUGCCCCCUCUCUGUCUGCGCGAGGGAACGGACCGGAGGCGCAUGCAGCUGCAGCUCCAUCUAUAUCUUCAGCUGGCCCGCUUCACCGUGCCUGACCCUGUUCACACGAGGACAAGUGAAGCAUCCACCCGCGGCACUCAUUCUGUCCUCCGGACCCUUUAGCGCACUGCAAGGACACUAAAGCCGUUUUUGGACAAACUUUCAACUUGGUGCGCUUUUCCAGUUACGCGCCGCAUCCCGCGGGUCCGGACCGGGUGACUCAUCCGUCACUUUCCGUCAUCAGUCCAUCACGGACUGUUCGGCUGCGCCAUGUCUCCUUCUAUCCACCGGUCACUGCUGUAACCGGGACAGGGACCUCCACUUUGACCAUCCUGUCCUCUAUCACAGUCCAACUCGAGUCUUUAAACCUGUACAUGCAGAAUGCGCGAUUUUGCGGUUUUCCCUCGUGCUUGUCCCGCGUUAUACCUGAUGUUACGCAGCAGGUACUCAACCAGCCGUGUAGCCCUAGACUAGACUAUAUCACGCGCCUGUUGUUGUUGUUGUUGUUGUUGUUGUUUUGUCCUAUUCAGGUAGCGUGUUUCACCUGGCAAAAUGGCAAAAGCAUUCAUUCCAUCAGAAAUGUCGCGUCCAGCGUUCCUGCGCAUUAGACACAGCAUAUCAUCGACUGUAUGCAUGCAUGUUCGCUGUAUUUAUGCGUUUAUAUUCGUGCCUUUACUACGAGGACAUUUAUAAUUUACGGUGAGUAGGAAAGGGAAAAAUCAGGUGAGGAUGCUGACGUCUAAAACCGCACUACUAUACUAUUAUAUCAUGUAUUGUAGGACAUUUGUUGACGUAUUUUAAAUGUUUGUCUAUUUACGAUUUAUUAUAGCAAGCUAUUUGGCAAUCUUGUUCAGUGUGGUAGUGUGCUUUUUCGGACAUGGCCAUUUGUGUGUGUGUGUGUGUGUGUGUGUGUGUGUGUGUCUGUGAUCAGUCUCGUUUCUCUGUCCAUGUGGACCAUCAGAAGGCGUUGUAAUACCAAACUCCACCGCUAGGGGUGUUACAGCGCAUGUUCAGGUGAAUUAACAUCAUCUGGUUUGAGGCAGCGGCGCGUCCAGGUUUGUAGACAUGGGACAAGAGAGCAUUAAGGAGUGGCACCAAGCAAUAAUCUAGCUAUAGGGCAACGUUGUAUUUGUAGCAGUAUUUAAGGCUACUGAUAAGAAGGUUGUGAGUUCAAAUCCCAGCAUCACCAUCUGCCACUGUUGGUUGCUUGAGCAAGACCUUUCACCGUCAGCAUCUUAGUUGUAUACUGUCUCUUCAAAACAUAAUAAUAAUGAUCAUAAUAAUCAUUUAAAAGGCAGGAGAACAGUGGAGAACAGUGUCAGCUAAAUGAGCUCUCAAAUCUAAAGCUUUACUAUAAGAUCUAUUUACAGUCCAUUUUAAAGGUGCAGCAUAUCUAGGUUUUCAGGUGAAAGACAAAUAUUAAAGGUACAAAAUGUACUCUUGAGGAUCAUCAUCAUCUUCAUCAUCAUAGAGGCAGGAAAAGCAUAGUUUAGUAUUAUUAUUUUUUGAGUGUGUUGGUGCAAUGAAUGGCAACAUAAUGGCUACUGUAUUGGCUCCAUAAUAUCAGUAUAGUUCGUAAUACUUGUCUAUAUGAAUUGUAUAGGAGAUUUGAGGUCAGUGUUAGGGUGGUAACUGAUAACCGGUGUGGCAAAGCUUAUUUCAGGUGCGAGACCAGUGUGACCAGGAAGGAUAAAUCCACUGCAGGGUAGUGUCUUCAAGGGUAAUGUCCUUCAUUCAUAUAUGUCUCGUCUUCAUUUGGUAAAACACACUCCUUUUAGGCCUGUCGUGAAAUGAGACAUCUUUGUGUAUGUCAUAGCAGGUUUACAAAGGCUAAUAAAAACAUCUGGAUAGUUUGGAUAAAUUAUGUGUGUAAGUAAAUGUCUGACUAUAUGUGUUUGCAUGUCUCUCUCUCUCUCUCGCUCUCUCUCUCUCUCUCUCUCUCUCUCUCUCUCUCUCUCUCUCAUAGUCUCAGUUUUGC
This is a long non-coding RNA of Ictalurus punctatus (channel catfish), 2018 nucleotides long. Lineage: Eukaryota; Metazoa; Chordata; Actinopteri; Siluriformes; Ictaluridae. The record is from Ensembl.